UAGAAAGAAAGUUUUUCCUUUUUCUUGCUCUCUUGUCUUUUCAUCUACUAUUUCCUUCGUGUAAUACAGGGUCGUCAGAUACAUAGAUACAAUUCUAUUAC
RNAcentral lists this transfer RNA (101 nucleotides) under Saccharomyces cerevisiae R103. Its description in RNAcentral is "tRNA-Leu". Lineage: Eukaryota; Fungi; Ascomycota; Saccharomycetes; Saccharomycetales; Saccharomycetaceae. The record is from RNAcentral.